GAGAGCUUGUAGGUUUCUUGACUUAAUCAUUCUGGAAUUAAGGUAAUGGAUCCUCAACACCUUUUCUUUCCCUGGCCUUUACUAACCAUGUAACAGAAAUGAGCAGAGAAAACCCAAGAAAGCGAACUGGAGACUUGAUGAGUGUGUCAAAGAUGCUCAGAGUCCAAGGUCCUCUGUGGCUCACUGACUUCAGAAGCCAACCUCCGUUGUUCAAGUCACUUGUGAGGUUACUAUGCUAGAGCACUAAAUAUUAUCCAGAUAGCCCAAAGAGGUGAAGGCAGACAUGUGGAAGAACCUGGAUUUUUGGGCAAGUUGAUGAAUGCCUCCUGCCCCAUAUCAAAGAGAGGUGAUAGGAGACAACUUUGUGAAUUUGAAAUAAUGCACCGGGGAAACAGGAAAACGUAAUACAAAAUCCCACCAGGAUAGAGAGAAUAGGAGAGGAGAUAACAGCAUCAUAAUUUAUGAAACUAAAAUGCAGAUAGACCAGGAUUAACUGACUACACAGCACCAAGGAAGCUGAAUCACAAGACAGCAGAGGAGAAAACUGGAAAGGAUCGUGGUCUAUACGGCAGAAUCUUCCCAAGCCUCAGGAGGAGGAGCUCUAGAUGUUCCCAGAUCUGGGAGUCCAGGGCACCUUGUUGUGACUAUCCCAAAGGCAGCCACUUUCCCUGGUCUGAAAGACCUGAAGAGAGAAGAGAAGAGAAGGAUGGAAGGCAGAGUAUGCGGCUUUGAUUCAUUUCCUGGUGAAAACAGAUCUAUACAAGAAGCAAAUUUCACGAAAGGGAAGAGAAGAAAGUGUCCCAUACGUUGCUGGCCUGUUUCAACCUUGCUUUGAUUCUUGCUGAAAAGGGUACCGUGUAUUUCUGAGUUCAACAUGCAGACCAGUGUUAGGAAAGCCACUGCACCUCCACUUUAGCCUCCAGGGCUGUGCCCUGCAAAUGGCCUGCAGCCUUGGUGCCUCGCUCUCCAGACUGCAUUUUGGAAGAUGGGACAGAGGCUUAUGGAAGCCCACAUUAGAACGGGGGAGCAGAAUGGGUGAGAUGAGGGAUCCUUGAUAGUGAACCAGAUGAAGGAAUGGUAGCCAAAUGCCAGGCCUCCUUUGUGGCUUCAAUCCAAAGGCUCUGGAGCCCUUCCAGGGCAGAACAUCAGGCAUGUUUACCCCCACUGUCCUCAACAGUGACAGAGGUGCAAUCUUGGGCAGCUGGCCAUUUUGAAAGCAACCUCCUUAAUCUCAACUGGGAAGGCUCCCUAGCAGGACCCCUGUGUUGCACACCUGGAGGAAGCUAGACUAACCAGAAGCUCAGCACGGUUCCAUCUGGGAUGCCCAGGUCUGAGACGAAAAAGGUAACUCUCUUUUCUGGGUCCUGGCCCAGUUGUGUCUCUCUCCACCUCAUUCUCUGAGAUGCCUGUCUCCCCUUUUUUGUCCCAUCAGGAGGCAAGAGCUAUCACUGGGCCAGACUCCACCAGAAGCCAAGCCAGCUUGUUACCCAGCUUCUCAAGGAGCAAAGAACAGCCUUGUUUCUAUCUUAUCCCCACUGUCCCCUGCCCCUGCCCCACCUCCCAGCCAUUCAGCUUCUGGCUUCCCCAGAGCUGCCUGCUUCUUUGUGGUCCUCCAUUCCUUGAAAAGACCUUCUAGUCAUUAGUGUAUAUAAAUGGCCACUUAGCCCAGAUUACAGUGAGGUCAACAGCUGGGGCUCUGAGAAUUGUCACACACUGGCACAGGAGAGGAGGCUAUUCUUCCAGAGAAUUUGGAGGGCACUCCCAUCCACUUACAACAAAAAGCCCAUCCACUGUGCUUGGCAGUAGGUGAUCUGAGAACCAAUGGAACCAGGUUAAUCCUGUGGCACUGUUGAGUGAGGAGAGCAGUGGCGGGCACUGGAAAAUAUCAGAGACAAGGCAGGAGACCUGAAAUCUAGGCUUAGCUCCUCAUAUACUUGGCAGCUGUAUGACCUCAGACAACCAGUGUUACCUCUCUAAGCCUCAGUUUCCUCAUGCAAAAGGAGGGGGAAUAACAACGGAGCCCACUGCUUGGGGGUGUUGUGAGGACAGGAUGAAAAAACAAACAGAAAUCCCUCAGUACAGGAUUCAGUGCAGUGGACAGUCUUGCAAGGUCCGGUUCAGCCCUCCACCCCUACCCUCACCAGUAUAAAGAACUCUGGCCUACAAGUCAGAUGACCUGAGUUUUAAUCUCAGCUUUGCCAUUAGCCGUGUGAACUUGAGAAAGUCCCUUUCCUUUUUACAUCUAUUGAGAUGAUCAUGCAUUUUUUGUCCUUUACUCUGUUAAUAUAGUGUGUUACAUUGAUUGCUUUUCAUAGACUGAACCAGCCUUGUAUUCCAGGGAUAAAUCUCACUUGGUCAUGGUGUAUAAUCCUUUAUACAAAUGUUGCUGGGUUGAGUUUGCUAGUAUUUUGUUGAAGAUUUUUAUGUCUUGAUUCAUAAGGAAUAUUGGUGUACCUUCCCCUUUUAUGGCCACAGUUUCCCUACAAUGAUGUAGUCGAACUAGACAACCUCCAAUAUCUUUCAGUAUUCAUGUCCUCUGAUUCUGUGAAACUAAGAAAAUUAAGAAAUAGUGAUUCAUAGGCACAAGGCAGGCAAAACUUAGACUCCUUGUAGAAUAAUUAGGAAGCCAAAUAUUCAGUGUGCUUAUUUCUCAAAUAACCUUAGUUUCUCCAGUCUGCCCCAACUCCGAGGCCUGAAUAUCUCUAGAUGCUUAUGAUGGCAACUAAAGCCUAAAAGCUAAUUCAUUUUAAAGUUCUUCCAAAUGCAUAGGGUUUUAUUUUUCCAGACCUGGGUUCAGAUGGGGAAUUUGACAAACAAUGGAAAGGGGGAAAAACAACAAUCUAAACACUGAGUGACAAAGUAACAAAGAAAUAGUCUAGCUAUCAGCCAGUCAAGCCAGCCUUGGCUUUGUUAUCCAAAGUAGUCAGUCUAAUUCUACCACCAGUUUCUGUUCCUGUAGCUGUCUACUGCCUGCCAGGGACUCUGCCUUCCCACCCACAACUACCAAUGGAAGGAUGUGGUGACCAUACCAGUGGCUGCUGACAUCUCCUGCCAUGGGAAACAUAAUUGCCUCCAGCAGCCUCCCCCUUAGAUCCAUCAUUUUUGCUGCACUUGGCCUGGGCUGUACUCCCGGCCAAUGACUGAACAUGGUGAGCAUAGUAAUGCAGGCCCAUUUCUGUGAGGAGCAGGACUCCUCCAGUAGGUGACUUUGGCUCAAGGACUCUCUAUUGGCCUGGUUGAACUUUUCCUGAACUGUGCUACUGUCUGAGACUCUUCUUACCCAAUCCUCUUUCUCGCCCCAAUUGUCACAGACCACCUGCAUUGUGGUCUGAGUCUCUCCCCACCUUCUCUUGCUCUUCCCUGUUUAUCUUUCACAGGCAUUUCCCCCAGUACAUUCCUUGAAUGUCUAACCCGAUACGGGUGCCUGACUUUUGGCAGACCUAAGCAGACAAAAAGGAGUACUUGGUUACCUAGCUCUUCUUUCUACCACAAACAUCGAGGGAACCCUUUUUCCCUCACCCCUCUGCCACACCCCCACUGCCCCAGUGAACAACCACAGAGAGAGCUGUGGUAUAAUAUUAGGCUGGUGCAAAAGUAAUUGCGGUUUUUGCCAUUACUUUUAAUGGUAAAAACCGCAAUUACUUUUGCACCUACCUAGUAUUUGUGUCCCCCCAAAUUCAUAUGUUGAAACCUAACCCACAAUAUGAUGUCAUUAGGAGGCAAGACCUUGAGGAGGUGAUUAGAUGAUGGGGUGGAGCUCUCCUGAAUGAGAUUAGUGCCCUUAUAAGAAGAAGCCCAAGGAAGCUACCUUGACUCUUCCAUCACAUGAGAAUGCAGCAAGAAGGCACCAUCUACUAAUCAGGAAGAGAGCUCUCACCAGACACUGAAUCUGCCAGUGUCUUGAUCUUGAAGUUCCCAGCCUCCAGAACUAUGCAUAAUGCAUUUCCAUUGUCUCUAAGCCACCCAGCCUAUGGUAUUUUGUCAUAGCAGCCUGAACUGACUAAGACAGUGAGCCACAUGAGAAGUGCCCCAACCCCUCCCUUAAGCACUUGGCUCACAGAUCAGUGGGUUCAUUUCUGCCUGAGUUUUAUUGUUAUUCUGUAGAUUUCUUGGGCUAGAUAUAUUUUUCUGUUAUUUUCCUUCUUCACCUCAGUCAUGAAUUGGUUGUUUUAAAAAAGACAAUGUAAGUCAUGGGGAAACUCCUGACAACUCUACUCUCCUAGGGUUCCUGAUAAAAGGGGAUUCAGUUGAGUCCUCUGAUGGUCUCUACCUGCCAAAGUCCAGCAGCCCUUAGCAAACAUGCUGCUCGUUUCUGUAGAGAAGGUGCUGGUGUCCCACCAUACUUCUCUCUCCCUCAUGAAGGGCUUGCGACCCAGCAAAUGGGUGGCUUAUAUGGGUCUGUUUCAAAGGAAGAGCCAGCUCUGGGAAGAAAAACGAUGAGCAUAAGCAUAACCUACCACUGUGCCUGGGAAAGCAGACAACUUUUUUGAUGUGUGAAUAUCUAAUGAGAAUGGAAUCCAUCAAUUACCUUAAACUUAGGCACAGUCUUCAAAUUCAAUAUAUGUGGGAUAUACUUUUAGUCAGUUUGUAGACGUUAUUUGUAAUAAAUAAUCUGGCUUCUCUAAAGAAAUUAUUUUAAGUGUUUGGUUUGGUUUGAUUUAAUGGUAAAAUUAUAUUUAGUGGCAGAGAAUUAUAGCAAUGGUGAUAAACUAUAGAGUGUCAUAAGUUCAUAUCUUAUUCUCACAUUUGAAGCUGCCUGCAGAUGCAUUCAAGAUGCAGCCAGAAGUCAGGAGACUCAGGCUGUUAUUUGGAGCUCAUCAUUUUACAGCCUUGCUGGACUCCCACUUUCUCAGGGGAAAAAUGUGGUGUUGACCCAGAUUAGCUCUCCAGGCCCUGCUGAGUUGGGCACUCUGUAAGCUGGAGGGUCUUCUAUUGUCUUCACCUAAGUGUCAAUCAACAACCCAAAUGGGCAUGGGGGAAGAGGGAGCUGGGCCAAUGCCCAGGGUGCCUGGUAGAGAGAUACCUUGGGCACUGGAAGGCACCAGCUUCCCAGAGAGAAGGGGGAGGGCCAUGAAAAAGUUGGCUGUAGAUGCCAGGGACACUGGGACUCUCCAGCUGUGUGUUUGUGUCUUCUGAAGACUUAUGUUUCAUUCCUUUGGAGCAUGCAUAAUCAUACACUGUGGGAUGUGUUAUAUAGAUUGCUUGAUAGUUCACCACUGUAAUAAAAUACUGUGACUGGAAUCUGCUCCCAGUCUGCCUUUGAUAGCACUUGUGCAACACACAUUUACUGAGCAUUUACAGUGAUCCAGGACCUGUGUUGUGAAAACAUUGAUGGACAAGGCAGAUGGUGGAGCACGUCAGUGAGGAUUUUUAACAAAGGCUGGUAAGUGCUAUAAAGGAACAUUGUAGGACACUAGAGAACAAAGAACAGGAGAACCUGACUUAGGCUGGGGUGGGGCGUUGGUUAGAGGAGGCUCCUUGGAGGACAUGAGGUUUAAGCUGUGACCUGAGGAUGAAUAGAUGUUGGCCAGGUGAGGGGCCCUGGGGAAGAAAGUUGGCAAAAUUCCUAAACCAACUUGAUCUAUGUCACAGCUUCACCCAGUGCUACUCCUAUUCUAAGACCCAAUGAAUACCCGGGUCACAUAGGGAGAAUGCUUGCAAAAUGUUGGAUGUCCUUGGGAAAAGAGCUGCUUUCUGCAGUCACGUGGAAUCAUCCCACAGACCGCUG
RNAcentral lists this long non-coding RNA (5728 nucleotides) under Homo sapiens (human). Its description in RNAcentral is "HSALNT0287343". Lineage: Eukaryota; Metazoa; Chordata; Mammalia; Primates; Hominidae. The record is from RNAcentral.